GUUGUAUGGUUAAGUGACUAAGCGUACAUGGUGGAUGCCUUGGCAGUCAGAGGCGAUGAAGGACGUACUAACCUGCGAUAAGCCGUGAGCAGUCGGUAAGAGACAUUACGACUCACGGAUUUCCGAAUGGGGAAACCCACUUAGCAUAAGCUAGGUAUCGCUGCGUGAAUACAUAGCGUAGCGAGGCGAACCGGGAGAACUGAAACAUCUAAGUACCCCGAGGAAAAGAAAUCAACCGAGAUUCCCUCAGUAGCGGCGAGCGAACGGGGAUUAGCCCUUAAGCAUCUUGGAAGUUAGUGGAACGGUCCUGGAAAGGCCGGCGAUACAGGGUGAUAGCCCCGUACACGAAAACAACCUUGAUGUGAAAUCGAGUAGGGCGGGACACGUGACAUCCUGUCUGAAUAUGGGGGGACCAUCCUCCAAGGCUAAAUACUCCUGACUGACCGAUAGUGAACCAGUACCGUGAGGGAAAGGCGAAAAGAACCCCUGUGAGGGGAGUGAAAUAGAACCUGAAACCGUGUACGUACAAGCAGUGGGAGCCCUUCGGGGUGACUGCGUACCUUUUGUAUAAUGGGUCAGCGACUUACAUUUUGUAGCGAGGUUAACCGUAUAGGGGAGCCGUAGGGAAACCGAGUCUUAACUGGGCGUCUAGUUGCAAGGUGUAGACCCGAAACCGGGUGAUCUAGCCAUGGGCAGGUUGAAGGUUGAGUAACAUCAACUGGAGGACCGAACCCACUAACGUUGCAAAGUUAGGGGAUGACCUGUGGCUGGGGGUGAAAGGCCAAUCAAACUCGGAGAUAGCUGGUUCUCCCCGAAAGCUAUUUAGGUAGCGCCUCGGACGAAUACUACUGGGGGUAGAGCACUGUUUGGGCUAGGGGGUCAUCCCGACUUACCAACCCCAUGCAAACUCCGAAUACCAGUAAGUAAUAUCCGGGAGACACACGGCGGGUGCUAACGUCCGUCGUGAAGAGGGAAACAACCCAGACCGCCGGCUAAGGUCCCAAAGUUCUGGUUAAGUGGGAAACGAUGUGGGAAGGCUCAGACAGCUAGGAUGUUGGCUUAGAAGCAGCCAUCAUUUAAAGAAAGCGUAAUAGCUCACUAGUCGAGUCGGCCUGCGCGGAAGAUGUAACGGGGCUCAAACCAGGCACCGAAGCCGCGGAUUCACGCUAAGCGUGAGUGGUAGGGGAGCGUUCUGUAAGUCUGCGAAGGUGUGUCGAGAGGCAUGCUGGAGAUAUCAGAAGUGCGAAUGCUGACGUAAGUAACGAUAAAGGGGGUGAAAAGCCUCCUCGCCGGAAGACCAAGGGUUCCUGUCCAACGUUAAUCGGGGCAGGGUGAGUCGACCCCUAAGGCGAGGCCGAAAGGCGUAGUCGAUGGGAAGCAGGUUAAUAUUCCUGCACGACUUGUAAUUGCGAUGGGGGGACGGAGAAGGCUAGGUGGGCCAGGCGACGGUUGUCCUGGUGAAAGUGCGUAGGUGGUGUUUCUAGGCAAAUCCGGAGACACAACACUGAGACACGAGACGAACACACUACGGUGUGGAAGCCAUUGAUGCCCUGCUUCCAGGAAAAGCCUCUAAGCUUCAGAUUACAAGUCAUCGUACCCCAAACCGACACAGGUGGUCGGGUAGAGAAUACCAAGGCGCUUGAGAGAACUCGGGUGAAGGAACUAGGCAAAAUAGAACCGUAACUUCGGGAGAAGGUUCGCUCUUGACAGUGAAGUCCCUUGCGGAUGGAGCAGUUGGGAGUCGCAGUGACCAGAUGGCUGGGACUGUUUAUCAAAAACACAGCACUCUGCAAACACGAAAGUGGACGUAUAGGGUGUGACACCUGCCCGGUGCCGGAAGGUUAAUUGAUGGGGUUAGCGCAAGCGAAGCUCUUGAUCGAAGCCCCGGUAAACGGCGGCCGUAACUAUAACGGUCCUAAGGUAGCGAAAUUCCUUGUCGGGUAAGUUCCGACCUGCACGAAUGGUGUAACCAUGGCCAUGCUGUCUCCACCCGAGACUCAGUGAAAUCGAAUUCGCCGUGAAGAUGCGGUGUACCCGCGGCUAGACGGAAAGACCCCGUGAACCUUUACUACAGCUUGGCACUGAACAUUGAACCUACAUGUGUAGGAUAGGUGGGAGGCUUUGAAGGCGUGACGCCAGUUGCGCUGGAGCCGUCCUUGAAAUACCACCCUUGUAUGUUUGAUGUUCUAACGCAGGCCCAUGAAUCUGGGUCGCGGACAGUGCCUGGUGGGUAGUUUGACUGGGGCGGUCUCCUCCCAAAGAGUAACGGAGGAGCACGAAGGUUGGCUAAUCCUGGUCGGACAUCAGGAGGUUAGUGCAAUGGCAUAAGCCAGCUUAACUGCGAGACGGACAGGUCGAGCAGGUACGAAAGUAGGUCAUAGUGAUCCGGUGGUUCUGAAUGGAAGGGCCAUCGCUCAACGGAUAAAAGGUACUCCGGGGAUAACAGGCUGAUACCGCCCAAGAGUUCAUAUCGACGGCGGUGUUUGGCACCUCGAUGUCGGCUCAUCACAUCCUGGGGCUGAAGUCGGUCCCAAGGGUAUGGCUGUUCGCCAUUUAAAGUGGUACGCGAGCUGGGUUCAGAACGUCGUGAGACAGUUCGGUCCCUAUCUGCCGUGGGCGUUGGAUGAUUGAAGGGAGUUGCUCCUAGUACGAGAGGACCGGAGUGAACGAACCUCUGGUGUUCGGGUUGUCACGCCAGUGGCACUGCCCGGUAGCUAAGUUCGGAAUCGAUAACCGCUGAAAGCAUCUAAGCGGGAAGCGAGCCCUGAGAUGAGUCAUCCCUGACCCCUUGAGGGUCCUAAAGGGCCGUUGGAGACCACAACGUUGAUAGGUGGGGUGUGUAAGCGCGGCGACGUGUUGAGCUAACCCAUACUAAUUACCCGUGAGGCUUAACCAUACAACACCCAAGAAGUGUUCU
RNAcentral lists this ribosomal RNA (2917 nucleotides) under Aeromonas hydrophila. RNAcentral describes it as "partial 23S ribosomal RNA". It matches the Rfam family "Bacterial large subunit ribosomal RNA". The record is from RNAcentral. Lineage: Bacteria; Pseudomonadati; Pseudomonadota; Gammaproteobacteria; Aeromonadales; Aeromonadaceae.